GAUGAACGCUAGCGGGAGGCCUAACACAUGCAAGCCGAGCGGUAUUUGUCCUUCGGGACAGAGAGAGCGGCGUACGGGUGCGGAACACGUGUGCAACCUGCCUUUAUCUGGGGGAUAGCCUUUCGAAAGGAAGAUUAAUACCCCAUAAUAUAUCGAAUGGCAUCAUUCGAUAUUGAAAACUCCGGUGGAUAGAGAUGGGCACGCGCAAGAUUAGAUAGUUGGUGAGGUAACGGCUCACCAAGUCAGUGAUCUUUAGGGGGCCUGAGAGGGUGAUCCCCCACACUGGUACUGAGACACGGACCAGACUCCUACGGGAGGCAGCAGUGAGGAAUAUUGGACAAUGGGUGAGAGCCUGAUCCAGCCAUCCCGCGUGAAGGACUAAGGCCCUAUGGGUUGUAAACUUCUUUUAUACUGGGAUAAACCUACUUACGCGUAAGUAGCUGAAGGUACAGUAUGAAUAAGCACCGGCUAACUCCGUG
This 479-nucleotide ribosomal RNA is filed under the name uncultured bacterium. RNAcentral's name for it is "partial 16S ribosomal RNA". It matches the Rfam family "Bacterial small subunit ribosomal RNA", at positions 28 to 507 of the family's 1533-position model. The record is from RNAcentral.